CCUACGGGAGACAGCAGUGAGGAAUCUUGGUCAAUGGACGAGAGUCUGAACCAGCCAAGUAGCGUGAAGGAUGACUGCUCUAUGGGUUGUAAACUUCUUUUAUAUGGGAAUAAAACAGGGUAUGCAUACCCUCUCGUAUGUACCAUAUGAAUAAGGAUCGGCUAACUCCACGCCAGCAGCCGCGGUAAUACGGAGGGUCCGAGCGUUAUCCGGAUGUAUUGGGUUUAAAGGGAGCGUAGGUGGAUUGUUAAGUCAGUUGUGAAAGUUUGCGGCUCAACCGUAAAAUUGCAGUUGAAACUGGCAGACUUGAGUGCAGUAGAGGUCGGCGGAAGGCGUGGUGUAGCGGUGAAAUGCUUAGAUAUCAGGAAGAACACCGAUGGCGAAGGCAGCUCACUGGACUGCAACUGACGCUGAGGCUCGAAAGUGUGGGUAGCAAACAGGAUUAGAUACCCCUGUAGUC
RNAcentral lists this ribosomal RNA (460 nucleotides) under uncultured bacterium. RNAcentral's name for it is "partial 16S ribosomal RNA". It matches the Rfam family "Bacterial small subunit ribosomal RNA", at positions 338 to 795 of the family's 1533-position model. The record is from RNAcentral.